This is an RNA transcript of Benincasa hispida (wax gourd), 1778 nucleotides long. It is a transcript of the gene named serine/threonine-protein phosphatase 7 long form homolog, with no coding region annotated. Lineage: Eukaryota; Viridiplantae; Streptophyta; Magnoliopsida; Cucurbitales; Cucurbitaceae. The record is from RefSeq and is a predicted model, not a curated record.
UUGUCGGGCUUCCAAUGCACAAGCGUUGGAAAUAGUGGGACCACUGAUACUAUUACAAGUGUGGGCUUUAAUAAUGAUUUCCAAUCGUAGCACCACAAGUAACAACUACAGGCCCCAGAUCAUCGGCCACUUAGUGUCAGGUUAUUUGGACAGCAUACUCACAGAUUUGGUCAUCAUUACCUGAUUAUUGUCGUGAUGAUGAAGACAUCUGGUUGACUGUUAGCCCUCUUAUAUGCUUCCAUAUAGUAGAGUGGUAUCAUCCAGAACGUGUGCUGAGAUAGUUCUGAUACGACAAACGAUACCUUCGUUGUCCUAUACACUCCCAGAAUUACACCAGAUCGAUUUAAGGGGCAAGCACGACCAAGACUGGCGUCGAAUCCAUGCGGAGUAUUUAUCCUACUGGCAUGGAUGACGUGAUCGUUGUGCACAGGGAGAAUUAACAGAUGGGUCAGCUGUAUCAGAUGACUACUUUUCCUAGUACAAUUCGAUCACGAGGCGAUUUAUCUCACCAGACGGCACUUACUAUUACUACAUGAAUAAUUUUAUCGGCGACGUUCAAUAAUACUUAUAUACCGGGUACACGAGUUCACUUGACCGAUCAACCAGUCGUCAGCUGACUGGAUUAAAUGGGCUCCUGUAUCGGGUAUACGAGUAUGCCACAUAGAAAUCGUGUACCGGGUACACGAUUUCACUACCCUAGAUCUGUUAAUACUUUUCCAAAACACCUAUUUAUGAAAAUAUUUCCCCUCCAACCCUAUUUUUGUCAUUAUUUAUUAAAAAAAUUAUUUUUUAAAAAAAUUCAAGAUUGGGGGUUAACUUUAACAAUAACGUAAUUUCUUAAGGUAAUGGCAAAAAUAGGGUACAUAGUAAAAAAAAAAAAAAAAACUUUAAAAGUAGAAUUAAAGGGAAAAGUAUUGACCAGCACAAUUGGUGCAAUGAUACACGAUUUAGAUUUCUUUAAUUUUUAUUUAAAAAAUUUCUUUCUUAUUUGAUUUAGUGUCUCAAGAUAAAAGGUAAUUUUAUCAAUUCUUUUAUUUCAAAAUAGAAGUUCACAUGAAGCUAAAAGUUUGAAUUACAAGCUAAAAUUAUCUCUCAAAUUUUCACCUGGUGGUCGUCUUUGUAUUCCUCUGGAUUAGUUUUGCCUUAUUGUCGUUGUUGUCUACAACGAAUACGUCUUCGAUCAGUGUCAGCAACAAUGAGUCGUCUUGUCUACUGAAUAGUAUGUCCUACAUUACCAAGUUUUGUUCAUACACUAAACUCAACUCUAGUAAAUUGUGUUGUACUAAAUAUUGUUGUACAUAUUGGACAAAAUUAUUAUGUAUGAUAAAAAAAUAAUACUGAAUAAUGUUCAUAUCAUACAUUUGAUAUACAUAACAUAAUAAAACUCUUACCAUGCAGUAAUAGUAAGCGUCGUAUGGUGUGAUAAAUUGCAUCUUGAUUGAAUCGUACCAAGAAAACUAGUCAUCUGAUAUUGUUGGUCCAUUUGUCAAUUUUCCUUAUGCACAACGAUCAUGAUGUGCACAUUAGUAUUAUAUAUAUUUUGCAUAAAUUCAACGUCAGUCUUGGCCGUGCUUAUCUCUCAAAUCAAUCUGGUUUAGUACCGAUAGUGUAUGGCACAAUGAUGGUACUAUUUAUUGCGGACUAAACUGUCUCAACACACGAUUUGGUUGAUGUCAAAAUAAAUCAGCGGAAACUCAAAAUAAGGAAAGAAAGAUUUUUCCUAACGCCUAUCUUUGGCACUUAAGACUUGAUCACAUAAAUCUCAAUAGGAUUGAGAG